Molecule: ribosomal RNA, 509 nt
Filed under: Glomus sp. Glo8
Lineage: Eukaryota; Fungi; Glomeromycota; Glomeromycetes; Glomerales; Glomeraceae
Description: SSU rRNA
Rfam family: Eukaryotic small subunit ribosomal RNA
Source: RNAcentral
AGCAAGCCGCGGUAAUUCCAGCUCCAAUAGCGUAUAUUAAAGUUGUUGCAGUUAAAAAGCUCGUAGUUGAAUUUCGGGGUUAGUAGGUUGGUCAUGCCUCUGGUAUGUACUGGUCUCACUGAUUCCUCCUUCCUUAUGAACCGUAAUGCCAUUAAUUUGGUGUUGCGGGGAAUUUGGACUGUUACUUUGAAAAAAUUAGAGUGUUUAAAGCAGGCUAACGCUUGAAUACAUUAGCAUGGAAUAAUGAAAUAGGACGUUCGAUCUUAUUUUGUUGGUUUCUAGGAUUGACGUAAUGAUUAAUAGGGAUAGUUGGGGGCAUUAGUAUUCAAUUGUCAGAGGUGAAAUUCUUGGAUUUAUUGAAGACUAACUACUGCGAAAGCAUUUGCCAAGGAUGUUUUCAUUAAUCAAGAACGAAAGUUAGGGGAUCGAAGACGAUCAGAUACCGUCGUAGUCUUAACCAUAAACUAUGCCGACUAGGGAUCGGAUGAUGUUAAUUUUUUAAUGACUCA